AUAACAACUAAAGUUUAUGUUUUUCCUUCUCUGCUUCAGAUUUUGUUUAAAUAUAAGAACUGGAAAACCAAAGCUUUGUCAUCUCUAAAACACCUUCACUGAGAAACGAAGUGUCCUUCUCAUCCCAUGGGGCUGUUCUGGGUAUCAAGUAAGAUACUGAUAUGAAGUGUUUUGUGACUGUUUAGCUUGGCCAUUUGCUGCUCCUACCUCAAAUAGAAGGUAUUCUUUUUUAUUUUU
This 237-nucleotide long non-coding RNA is filed under the name Homo sapiens (human). Its description in RNAcentral is "non-protein coding lnc-NT5DC3-5:10". Lineage: Eukaryota; Metazoa; Chordata; Mammalia; Primates; Hominidae. The record is from RNAcentral.